AUUAAUAUAAAUAUCUUUUGUUUAUUUAUGUAUUUAGUUCUUCAAAUGUCGACGCCAUUUGCUAAAAAUCUUGCGUGCAUCACGGAAGACAACAAUAUAUAUACCUUAGUGAAGCAGCAAGUACAAAUUAUGCACCAGCAAAUUGCCAGAUCUUAUGAAAUAAUAGAGACCCUAAGAAGACAGAUAAGCAACUCAUAAAUUAUAUAAAAUAACGGUUUUUCGGUGGCGAAAAAUGAUGGUGGAUGUCUGGGGAUCCAUGACUUGGUGUAUAGUCAAUAAUCACAAUUGAAUCAUUUUGAUCAUUGUUUGUAUAUUUCUCCACUUCAUUAACCUUAGCUGGAGUACUUGCAUAAGUUUGUAUUGAUUCAAUUUCUCUUCUUCCAAUUCCUCCAGCUAAUAAGUAUAACAAAUAAAUAUAUAUAAAAAAACAGGCAUCAGUUUGAUAUAUUUGUGAGAUGAAAUAUAUAUAAAACAACGAAAGAGAGGGGCCGGAAUAAAAUUACCUUGUGUCACUAUUAUUAUGAAGCACACCAAAAAGAUGGUCUUCAAAAGAAGAAGAUUCGUAGUUGCAACAGCCUUAACCAUGACUACUAUACUACACUAUCAAAAUAUUUCUGAUGAAAGAUAUGGUAUUAAUUU
RNAcentral lists this long non-coding RNA (639 nucleotides) under Nicotiana benthamiana. RNAcentral describes it as "long non-coding RNA (NBEN_LNC004542)". The record is from RNAcentral. Lineage: Eukaryota; Viridiplantae; Streptophyta; Magnoliopsida; Solanales; Solanaceae.